UAUUUCAUUUUAGGCUGGUUAACUGUCAUUUAGACCAUACAUUUUCUGUUAAAUAAAAUGUAAUUGCUGCUGAGCCUGAGGAUGCGGAUGAGGCUGGGGCUUGCAGCCUGGCUACACGUGAUUCAGAUAUGCUUUCUUUCCUUUAUAUUAUGAUUUAGAUGUGUAUAGAUAGUCUAUGAGUUUUUGCAAUCCACGCAUUUAAAUCAUCAUAUAUGCUUAUGAUUUUAAUGCACCAAAAACCACCCAUACAAUCUUAGCCCUGUAAAUGCGUCAGCAUAUCAAGCUCAUGGACUUGACAUGGAUAUGUUUGAUGUCGCCUAGGUGCGGAACCAGUUGUCCAUUCCAAUGUUACCAAGAUCACCAACCCACCUCAUUCUUUUGACAAAAAAGAAAAUGAAAAGGAAAAACAGGUGGCACUUCUAGCAGUCAUAGAUAUUAUUGUCCUCAGCCCCUAAAGUCUGCAUUUGGAUGUUCUGAUUUCUUUGUGCAUGCAGUUUUUUUCCAUUGAAUUCAAUAUCAGUAAGUUUCUCAAAUGUAGGAUGUUUUGCUAGUAGUGAUUUCUUUGUUCUGAUUCCUUUUACUUUAUACCAAUGUUUUUAUUCUCAAAGUUUAAUUUAUCUAUUUCAUUAUGGCGUUUUCUCAUAGGAUGCAAGCUUUGGUUGAGGACUACAUUUUCAGUGGAGGCAUUUUCUCUACGUCGGUAUUUCAGUAUACUAAUGAGGAAAAAAGCUCUCAAGAUUAAGCGAAUGGAGAUGGAACAGAAAGAUUGCUCCCUGAAGGUAGAUAAACUACUAGAAAGGCAUAGUUGGAUUGUAGCUGACAAAUAAUUAUUUGGAAAAAGUGGGACAGAUUAUGACUUCUCAUCUCGUGAUCCUCGUAAAUCAAGGGAGGAGCUUGAGAAACUUCAAGUUGAACAAUCCGUCCUUGAGAAGAGGGUCAACAAAAAAGUUAUGGCAAUAUUCGAGAAAGCUGAAGAUGAAUACAAUGACUUAUUAUCCAACAAAAACAUCAUUGAGUCAAAAAUCAAGAAGGUGAUUGAAGAGCUUGAUGAAAAGAAGAAGGAAACACUAAAAGUUACUUGGGUUAAAGUGAACAAGUGAGUCAACACUUCUCUGCUCUCAUGUUCCAGUUCAUAUUUUGUGCUUUCUAGUUGAAAAUCAAGAAUGCCAUUUACUUUUGUUGGUAUAUUUCAGUGAAAGAAAUUUACUUU
Molecule: long non-coding RNA, 1210 nt
Organism: Magnolia sinica
Lineage: Eukaryota; Viridiplantae; Streptophyta; Magnoliopsida; Magnoliales; Magnoliaceae
Exons: 4
Source: RefSeq, a predicted model, not a curated record